CAAGGUGCUGCAUGGUUGUCGUCAGCUCGUGCCGUGAGGUGUCGGUUAAGUCCCAUAACGAGCGCAACCCUUAUCGUUAGUUGCCAUCUGGUAAUGCAGGGGACUCUAGCGAAACUGCCACCGUAAGGUGAGAGGAAGGUGGGGAUGACGUCAAAUCAGCACGGCCCUUAUGUCCAGGGCUACACACGUGUUACAAUGGUCGGUACAGAGGGCAGCUACCUGGUGACAGGAUGCUAAUCUCGAAAACCGGUCUCAGUUCGGAUCGAAGUCUGCAACUCGACUUCGUGAAGCUGGAUUCGCUAGUAAUCGCGCAUCAGCUAUGGCGCGGUGAAUACGUUCCCGGGCCUU
This 348-nucleotide ribosomal RNA is filed under the name uncultured Sphingobacteriales bacterium. RNAcentral's name for it is "bacterial SSU rRNA". It matches the Rfam family "Bacterial small subunit ribosomal RNA", at positions 1034 to 1382 of the family's 1533-position model. Lineage: Bacteria; Pseudomonadati; Bacteroidota; Sphingobacteriia; Sphingobacteriales. The record is from RNAcentral.